This 71-nucleotide transfer RNA is filed under the name Patescibacteria group bacterium. RNAcentral's name for it is "tRNA-Gly". It matches the Rfam family "tRNA". From Rfam's summary of the family: Transfer RNA (tRNA) molecules are approximately 80 nucleotides in length. The record is from RNAcentral.
GCGGGUAUAGUUCAGUGGUAGAAUGUGAGCUUCCCAAGCUUAAGAUACGGGUUCGAUUCCCGUUACUCGCU